AAAAAUAAAAAAAAAUUGCUGAAAAAAUUUCCUUUGGUCGCAUUUGCAGCUGAACCCGUGUCCACGUCACCCUUUAAGUAUUUAGAGAUCAAGCUUCCACUCUCCCUCUCAUGUCCAAAGAACAGAACAAACAUCUCCCCCACUCAAAUAAUCCCAACUGAAUCCACAUGUUAAUUCCCCUGCUUUACAUCUCGUGCAUGCUCUCCCUUCCGCAUUUUUCUCAUCUUCCACUUCUUCCACGCGUCGGGCUCAUCACAUCCUCCCAACCGUGAUCUUCUCCCGUUCGGAUCAGCACCCCAUUUCUUCCGAACGCCCACGGAUAAGCCCAAGCUACCUAUCCCGUGUCCACAAAUCAAGCCUCCACAGCCUUAUCUCCCAGCGAAUCUAUCACUUCAUCCCAAUCCUCCUCUUCCGGCUUGAUUCCAAAGAUCCCCUUAUCCACGGAUUCAUCCCAACAUCUUCCGGAUUAGCAUCCUAGCUAUGAGCAUCGCCUGUUCUUCCUUCACGAAUCUGAACCAAAUGCACAGCAUCUACCGUAUCCAACUUCUUCCAGCAUCCUCUUCCUUCGGAACAGAGUAUCAGCCUAUCCACUUGAUCCUCUUCUUCCCAGAUUGCUUCCCAGCAUCCCACGGUCAGCCAUCGUCCGGAUUAAUCCCAGCAUAUCCAUGGAUAAACUCCGAACUGAUUUAUCUCCCAGAUUUUCUCUGCGGAAUCAUCCAAGCUCCCAUCCGCAAUCACCUCCCAGCUUCUUCCAAAUCCCCUGCAUCCUCCGCAUUCCCUCCGUGACGUGUUCCCAAACUUUCCCGAACUUAUCCUC
Molecule: non-coding RNA, 817 nt
Organism: Phoenix dactylifera (date palm)
Lineage: Eukaryota; Viridiplantae; Streptophyta; Magnoliopsida; Arecales; Arecaceae
Source: RefSeq, a predicted model, not a curated record